Molecule: ribosomal RNA, 356 nt
Filed under: uncultured bacterium
Lineage: Bacteria
Description: partial 16S ribosomal RNA
Rfam family: Bacterial small subunit ribosomal RNA
Source: RNAcentral
CCUACGGUGGGCAGCAGUGGGGGAUAUUGCACAAUGGGGGAAACCCUGAUGCAGCGACGCCGCGUGGGCGAAGAAGUAUUUCGGUAUGUAAAGCCCUAUCAGCAGGGAAGAAGAAAUGACGGUACCUGAGUAAGAAGCACCGGCUAAAUACGUGCCAGCAGCCGCGGUAAUACGUAUGGUGCAAGCGUUAUCCGGAUUUACUGGGUGUAAAGGGAGCGCAGGCGGCAGGGCAAGCCUGAUGGGAAAGCCCGCGGCCGAACCGCGGGACUGCAGUGGGAACUACCGGGCUGGAGUGCCGGAGAGGGAGGCGGAAUUCGUGGGGGAGCGGUGAAAUGCUUAGAUAUUACGAAGAAGAC